AUACGUAGGGGACAAGCGUUGUCCGGAAUGACUGGGCGUAAAGGGCGCGUAGGCGGUCUAUUAAGUCUGAUGUGAAAGGUACCGGCUCAACCGGUGAAGUGCAUUGGAAACUGGUAGACUUGAGUAUUGGAGAGGCAAGUGGAAUUCCUAGUGUAGCGGUGAAAUGCGUAGAUAUUAGGAGGAACACCAGUGGCGAAGGCGGCUUGCUGGACAAAUACUGACGCUGAGGUGCGAAAGCGUGGGGAGCGAACAGGAUUAGAUACCCUGGUAGUCCACGCCGUAAACGAUGAAUGCUAGGUGUUGGGGAAACUCAGUGCCGCAGUUAACACAAUAAGCAUUCCGCCUGGGGAGUACGACCGCAAGGUUGAAACUUAAAGGAAUUGGCGGGG
This 389-nucleotide ribosomal RNA is filed under the name uncultured bacterium. RNAcentral describes it as "partial 16S ribosomal RNA". It matches the Rfam family "Bacterial small subunit ribosomal RNA", at positions 523 to 918 of the family's 1533-position model. The record is from RNAcentral.